This 83-nucleotide transfer RNA is filed under the name Clostridiales bacterium. RNAcentral describes it as "tRNA-Leu". It matches the Rfam family "tRNA". From Rfam's summary of the family: Transfer RNA (tRNA) molecules are approximately 80 nucleotides in length. Their secondary structure includes four short double-helical elements and three loops (D, anti-codon, and T loops). Further hydrogen bonds mediate the characteristic L-shaped molecular structure. tRNAs have two regions of fundamental functional importance: the anti-codon, which is responsible for specific mRNA codon recognition, and the 3' end, to which the tRNAs corresponding amino acid is attached (by aminoacyl-tRNA synthetases). tRNAs cope with the degeneracy of the genetic code in two manners: having more than one tRNA (with a specific anti-codon) for a particular amino acid; and 'wobble' base-pairing, i.e. permitting non-standard base-pairing at the 3rd anti-codon position. The record is from RNAcentral. RNAcentral also lists the same sequence under 1 other name. Lineage: Bacteria; Bacillati; Bacillota; Clostridia; Eubacteriales.
GCGGGCGUGGCGGAAUUGGCAGACGCGCAAGAUUUAGGAUCUUGUGGGUGACCGUGCAGGUUCAAGUCCUGUCGCCCGCACCA